This 714-nucleotide long non-coding RNA is filed under the name Helianthus annuus (common sunflower). Lineage: Eukaryota; Viridiplantae; Streptophyta; Magnoliopsida; Asterales; Asteraceae. The record is from RNAcentral.
GAGCUUUGUUCUUAAUAUGUCUGAACUGAAACUGUUAAGGCUAUGAUGCAUAAGCUGAGCCUGUGAGGUUACAUAUGUGUUUCUUGUGCUUAAAACACUUGUACAUCAUGCUUUAAAGGUUGUUUAAGUUUAGUGGAAAAUUACUCUUGUACAUCAUGCUUUAAAGCGGGGUUACAUAACACAAUAGACUGUGAUGAUGAUUGUAUUUUGAGGGUACAUAGAAGAUCCGAGUAGCAUCUUGGCGGGGCAAUAUCCAGGUUGCAAAGUUCUCACUUUGCAACCGUGUGUUGCAGCCAUGGCUUUACCCGUAGUUGUGUUCAUCUCUCAAUUACAUGUCUGAGUCUUUCAUGUUUGAGGCUAUGAUGCAUAAGCUGAGUCUGUCAGGUUACAUAUUUGUUUCUUGUGCUUAAAACACGUGUACAUCAUGCUUUAAAGGUUGUUUAAGUUUAGUGGCAAAUUACUCUUGUUGUGUACUCCGGAUUUUGUGUUCUUAAUCUGUCUGAACUGAAAGUGUUUGAGGCUGUGAUGCGAAAGCUGAGCUUGUGUUCUUAAUCUGUCUGAACUAAAAGUGUUGAGUCUAUGAUGCAUAAGCUGAGCUUGUGUUCUUAAUCUGUCUGAAGUAAAAGUGUUUUGAGGCUGUGAUGCAAAAACUGAGCCUGUGUAAUCUAUCUGAACUGAAAGUGUUUGAGGCUGUGAUGCAAAAACUGAGCCUGU